GCUGCCUCCCUGGUUAGGCUGGGAGCUGGAUGAGCAGCUGCUGGGUCCUGCUUUUCUGGUUCCUAGGUGGGCGCUUCAGCAGAUGAUUUUUCUUGACCAGCAGGUGGCGCUGUUGAAAAGCAGUUAGAUCGUGGUACAAGGGAAGCCAAGGCUUUCGGCUGGUAACGCUGGCUGUGACAGACCUGGCCACAUGGCGCUCAGCUGGCCCCACAGCAGGUCUUUCCUUCUCCUGCUCCAGGGCCCUGCCUCUUAGCAAGAGACAGAUUGCAUCCGCUGUCCUCAGACUGGCAAGAGAUAAAUGCAGUCUUUGCCCCCUCGUCGAAGGAAUUUCUCUUUGCAACAGACAGAGACCGUUGGAGAAAAGCACAACCAAUCAAAAUGCAGAGCUGUGAGCCCAGUCCUGGGGGAUACAUCUACAAAACAUCCCCACACCUAAAGCUCAGGGAUCAUUGCAGAAGAGGAAGUGGAAAGACUGCGAGUACCAGAGGAUCGGGGAGUUUGCUGUGAGAUUGUGUCUCCUAGGAACAUUCAUAUGUUGAUAUAUUAACGGGAAGAGGUUAUCAUAAGGUCUGAGAAGUGACUCUUACAGCUGUGCCUCUGUAUCUAUGGGUACACACAUCUAUCUACUGUAUCUCUGUACCUAAGAUGUCCUCGGAGCAAUUGAGAAUAAUUACAUUUAUGUUUUAGACAUAAAAAUUAUACAUCUC
Molecule: long non-coding RNA, 707 nt
Organism: Mastomys coucha (southern multimammate mouse)
Lineage: Eukaryota; Metazoa; Chordata; Mammalia; Rodentia; Muridae
Exons: 4
Source: RefSeq, a predicted model, not a curated record